RNAcentral lists this unclassified non-coding RNA (246 nucleotides) under uncultured fungus. RNAcentral describes it as "partial contains 5.8S ribosomal RNA, internal transcribed spacer 2, and large subunit ribosomal RNA". The stretch from base 1 to 52 matches the Rfam family "5.8S ribosomal RNA", at positions 103 to 154 of the family's 154-position model. Lineage: Eukaryota; Fungi. The record is from RNAcentral.
AACGCACAUUGCGCCCGCCAGUAUUCUGGCGGGCAUGCCUGUCCGAGCGUCAUUUCAACCAUCAAGCCCUAGGCUUGUGUUAGAAGCCUGCGGCUGCCGCAGCUUCCUAAAUCUAGUGGCGGGCUCGUCGUCGUACCGAGUGCAGUAGAUAUUCUCACUCCGGGACGCAGCGGGUUCUAGCCGUCAAACGCUCCCUAAGCAUUCAAGGUUGACCUCGGAUCAGGUAGGAAUACCCGCUGAACUUAA